Molecule: long non-coding RNA, 1445 nt
Organism: Peromyscus maniculatus bairdii (prairie deer mouse)
Lineage: Eukaryota; Metazoa; Chordata; Mammalia; Rodentia; Cricetidae
Source: RefSeq, a predicted model, not a curated record
ACAAACAGUUAACUGUGUUAAGGGAGCUGCCACUAAUCGCUGUCAUGGAAACUGAGAGGGGAGUGAAUUGCAAGAAGCAGCCUGGAAGAGAAGUCCAUAGGGACCGAGGAUUCAAGUUGAGAAGAGCCAGGGCAAGGUCAAGAUACAGGCAGGGGGGAGCUGUCAGGUCAGGAGACAGAGGCCAACCAGGGGUAGGUCACCCUUGCAAGGUCCAGAGGGUAAUCAGUGAUGAAGCCGGGCCUCAGUCCAGCGGUGCAGGGUCCAGUCAUUUACCCAGUGGACCGUCCUUCGUGUCUUCUUCCGGAGAACCCUGGAACUCAGGGAUUCGCACUCUGUCUUGCAGUCCUCGCUCUGCUGUCACGGCCUUCUCCCAGGCAGGCUGGGUACUCCCUAUGGUGCGGUGGCAGCCCAGCUUUACGCCUGGACUCCCACUGCACCCGAAGCAGGGCUUUGGGGAACGGCUGGCGUGGAGUUAAACCUGCAGUGAGGAUUCUGUUCAGACACUUGAUGACACCUGCAUCUUUGGGUCUUCCUCCAUGUGGGAGACACAGCACGGAGGCACGCAGACCCAGACAAGGCAGGCAAAACCCGGUCACCAGCUGUUGACAUCUGACUACUCUCCCUUCCUCUCCGCUCUGCAGGGCUCCUGCAGUCCACCUUUUUUUGAACCUGACUGGGAAUGGUUGGACACAGGGAUUGCAUAGCAUAUUUUGUCCCUAGGCUCCCCAAGAGCUGCCUCAGCCCUCAAAAGGGCUUAUCUCUGGAAGUUCUUGAAGCAUGGUUGUUAUCUGAACCCCUUGGCUCUGGAGUCCAGCACCCACAUUUCACAGAGGAGAAACCCAAGGCCCAGAAUGGCUAGGGGUUGGGCCCAGAGUGGUCACGAGUCAGGGGACCCAGGUCCUCUGACACCUUCUCCAAGCGGCUCUCUGAUGGUCACUAAGGCCUUCGGUCCACAGGCAACGAAUGGGGCUGAGUGAGGUGACAUGUGAGGUGACAGGCACAUGGUCCAAGGACUUGACCUUUGCUUCUAAGCACUCUUCCUGGGUUAGCACACAGCUUCGCUUCUAAGUCCGUUAACCAGAGGUGAACACACUUCUCUGAAUACCCAAUGGGCUGUGAAGUGUGCCCAAAGCCCAUAAAAAUAUAAUUCAGGUCAUAAAUUUAAUACAGCCGGGGUGAAUGACUGUAAUAGCUCUGUUUUUAACCACUUAAUUAGCAAUGGUUUCAUUUGAUUUUUUUUGUUUUGUUUUGGAUUUAAAGGGUUUUUUAAAGAAGAAUUCUCAAGAUCCAUUGUUUUCGAUGUCAAGAAACGCAAAGCUAUUCAAAGAGUUCUGAACAGUUGCCUUUCUCCAAAUCUCACCCAAGAGUAAAGCCUGUGCUUGUUUUAGAUGGUUUUUAUAAGAAGUUCAUUGCUAGACAGAGCAGCAGGGAUUGCUCAAAUUUAG